Molecule: long non-coding RNA, 502 nt
Filed under: Chelonoidis abingdonii (Abingdon island giant tortoise)
Lineage: Eukaryota; Metazoa; Chordata; Testudines; Testudinidae
Description: lncRNA (ENSCABG00000005917.1)
Source: RNAcentral
CACUUGACAGAGUAGGGAAACUUGAAGUGUGAUAGACUUCUCUGUAACCUGUGUCACUUACUCUGUUGCUGAACCAGGAAUUGAACCCAGGUCUUCUGACUUUCUCCAAUGCUAUAGCCACUAAACUGUGCCUGCUACAUCCUUUAUAGUGGCAAAUUCAUCUUAAUGGAUAUUAACCCAAAUAUGAAGCCAACAAUUUAAAUGUCUGUAUUAACUUUCACUGAGCUUUUGCAGAAACAUACCACAGUCAAACUGCUGCUCUCCUGGGUUCCCAGCUGCCAGAUUCUCCAGCUUCCCUACCCUGAAAACCUUGAUGUUUCUGAAGUUUUUCCUCUACACUUUGAGGACUGGUUGCUUUCCUUUUACAGUGUUUGGGAAGAGUUCCAAAAUUCUCCUAAAUUGUCAGGAGAAGGUCUGCAGUGCCAUGAUGUGUGAGAUAGGGAUGAAUGCAUUUCAUCAUGGGUGCUUUUCUGGAGAUGGACCAGCUGCCUGAACAACAUGC